Molecule: ribosomal RNA, 253 nt
Filed under: uncultured bacterium
Lineage: Bacteria
Description: partial 16S ribosomal RNA
Rfam family: Bacterial small subunit ribosomal RNA
Source: RNAcentral
UACGUAGGGGGCAAGCGUUGUCCGGAAUUACUGGGCGUAAAGCGCACGUAGGCGGAUUGUUAAGUCGGGGGUGAAAUCCUGGAGCUCAACUCCAGAACUGCCUUCGAUACUGGCGAUCUCGAGUUCGGGAGAGGUGAGUGGAACUGCGAGUGUAGAGGUGAAAUUCGUAGAUAUUCGCAAGAACACCAGUGGCGAAGGCGGCUCACUGGCCCGAUACUGACGCUGAGGUGCGAAAGCGUGGGGAGCAAACAGG